CUGGCACGUGACAAUAGCCCCCUCCCGAAAAAAUGCUCCGUAUUGCGCCUCCUCCGCCUGAUGAAAAUGACGUAAUCACACGAUCGUCUGGCCCACGUGCGAAUUCAUCGGUACGGCGGCUUUCAUUUUUCGAAACUUCUCCGUUAAAUUCUUCCAUUUAACCUCUUACUUUGCAAAUGAAGACAUUUUUGGAUGGCAGCCUGGCCAGAGAUGUUUCACGAACAAAUAUAAUGACAAGUGUGGAGCUAUGGAUUCAAUUUACCUGACCACCAUCCCCACUUCCAAGCAAGACCCAGCAAGAUCUGGAGCAUAUCGAGACUGGCUGGCCAAAGAUGUUUAUUUUUGUAUAAUGACAAGUACUGAGCUAUGGAUUCACUUCAGCACCAUCCCAAUUACCAUGUAAGAACCACUUCAGUAAGAGAACAUAUCAAGAACGCCUAGCCAGAGAUGUUUCUCCUGGUGUAGUGAAAAGUGCUGAGCUAUGGAUUCACUUCACCUCACCGCCAUCCCCAAUUUCUUGGAGGGGUCAAUUCAUAUUGUGAACUUAUUGAGGAUCAACAUUGAAGACGAACACACAAAAACAGGGCUGAAAAGAAUGACUGGGCAGGAUGGUUGUGCCGAGCUGCACCGUGGAUAACUGUUAGGGGAGAAAAGGGAGCCAAGCAUCUCUGCCCCUCCAUCUGAUGGCACAGUCUGGAAAAGAGAACAGCUAACACACCAUCAUCCUCC
Molecule: long non-coding RNA, 729 nt
Organism: Lineus longissimus
Lineage: Eukaryota; Metazoa; Nemertea; Pilidiophora; Heteronemertea; Lineidae
Exons: 6
Source: RefSeq, a predicted model, not a curated record